Molecule: microRNA precursor, 110 nt
Filed under: Pelobates cultripes (western spadefoot toad)
Lineage: Eukaryota; Metazoa; Chordata; Amphibia; Anura; Pelobatidae
Source: RNAcentral
UAAGAACAAAGUAUAAGCAUCAUUCUAACAAUUCCUUGCACUCCUCCUUGUGUUUAUAAACACAAGGAGGAGUGCAAGGAAUUGUUAGAUUGAUGCUUAUACUUUGUUAU